CAUGCUCCUGAGUGGAAGGGAGAGAUGAGUGCCGUGGAGUAAUCCCGUCUUUGAAUUGCACUCGCUGCCACUCUGAUCUGAAGAAGUAUCUGGAACUGUGUCACGGGAGCUGUUCUGUCCUGCGCUUCUUUGCAGCCAUGCCUGUGGGUGACAGUGAUCCAGCUUCCCGGCUGGGUUCCAGGACUGAGCCUCUGGGAGAUGGCAUGGUUACAGAAGUGCCCGUAGGGAGGACUUUUCCAGCUCCUCGGCUGGAUGCUGCGCUAGAGCCCAGCUGGCAUCGCAGGGGUCCUCCAAGAGCAAAGCCCCAAGCUGAAGGAGGAAAAAAGUCCCCAGAGGCAUCUGAAGUCCUGAGGCAGAUGCUGGA
Molecule: long non-coding RNA, 364 nt
Organism: Gymnogyps californianus (California condor)
Lineage: Eukaryota; Metazoa; Chordata; Aves; Accipitriformes; Cathartidae
Exons: 3
Source: RefSeq, a predicted model, not a curated record